This 490-nucleotide ribosomal RNA is filed under the name uncultured bacterium. RNAcentral describes it as "partial 16S ribosomal RNA". It matches the Rfam family "Bacterial small subunit ribosomal RNA", at positions 30 to 507 of the family's 1533-position model. The record is from RNAcentral.
AUUGAACGCUGGCGGCAGGCCUAACACAUGCAAGUCGAACGGUAACAGGAAGAAGCUUGCUUCUUUGCUGACGAGUGGCGGACGGGUGAGUAAUGUCUGGGAAACUGCCUGAUGGAGGGGGAUAACUACUGGAAACGGUAGCUAAUACCGCAUAACGUCGCAAGACCAAAGAGGGGGACCUUCGGGCCUCUUGCCAUCGGAUGUGCCCAGAUGGGAUUAGCUAGUAGGUGGGGUAACGGCUCACCUAGGCGACGAUCCCUAGCUGGUCUGAGAGGAUGACCAGCCACACUGGAACUGAGACACGGCCCAGACUCCUACGGGAGGCAGCAGUGGGGAAUAUUGCACAAUGGGCGCAAGCCUGAUGCAGCCAUGCCGCGUGUAUGAAGAAGGCCUUCGGGUUGUAAAGUACUUUCAGCGGGGAGGAAGGGAGUAAAGUUAAUACCUUUGCUCAUUGACGUUACCCGCAGAAGAAGCACCGGCUAACUCCGUG